Molecule: ribosomal RNA, 253 nt
Filed under: uncultured bacterium
Lineage: Bacteria
Description: partial 16S ribosomal RNA
Rfam family: Bacterial small subunit ribosomal RNA
Source: RNAcentral
UACGAAGGGGGCGAGCGUUGUUCGGAAUUACUGGGCGUAAAGGGCGCGUAGGCGGCGACUCAAGUUAGAUGUGAAAGUCCUGGGCUUAACCUGGGGACUGCAUUUGAUACUGGGUUGCCUGAAUUCGGGAGAGGAUAGCGGAAUUCCCAGUGUAGAAGUGAAAUUCGUAGAUAUUGGGAAGAACACCGGUGGCGAAGGCGGCUAUCUGGACCGACAUUGACGCUGAAGCGCGAAAGCGUGGGGAGCAAACAGG